This 2501-nucleotide long non-coding RNA is filed under the name Mus pahari (shrew mouse). RNAcentral's name for it is "predicted gene 43254 (MGP_PahariEiJ_G0005814.1)". The record is from RNAcentral. Lineage: Eukaryota; Metazoa; Chordata; Mammalia; Rodentia; Muridae.
CUGGAUUCCUGGGGCCACCUACCUCCACUUUCCUCCGCAAGCCCUCAGAGGCCAAAGACCAUCAAGACAAGGAGACAAGGACCUUAGUAGCCCCAGGAAUUCACCACCACGCACCCACUUACACACUGCCAGUGUCUGUGAUCAGACUUUUUGAUUACGUUAUUGUAGCACUUGGUUGCAUGCAUAGCUCCAGAAACUUCUAAAGGACCAUCCAAACCGGGAGACGGGAACACACACACACACACACACACACACACACACACACACACACACACACAGAAACACGCAGGACCAUACUGUAUAAUGAUCGAGUCUCCUUGUGAAGACAAUUGACACAGACUUAUCCUAAAUCUCUAAUUCCCUCAAACACCACUUCCUCCAUGAGGUCCUUUAAUCUUUAACCCAAGUACAGGUAACUUCUAACUUCUCUGCAAUUGCAUGCAUUACAAGUAUUUCUGUCUGGCCCGAUGGCCACAACGAGUUACAAUAGCAGUCUUUACUCUGCAGUCUUUGGUCCGGCUAACAUCGGGAGCUGUGGUUCUGAGGAAGGAACCAGCCGCGGGGCUACACAUACGGUUUCCCUUUUCCGUAGACCAGUUGAUUGGGACGACCUCAUUGGAAUGGUCUUCCAGACCUCUACCAGUUUCUGCUCCAACUGUGAGCAAGGCUCACAUCCUCACCUACUGGGUUCUUUCUGCAUCUAAAUUGUGACAGUUAAAACCCAAACUGGUUUUACCCAGGUUCCAGAAAGGACCUCUUAGAGGUGCCACUAGCCACUUAGACAUUGCUCAGUCUAGUCUCUAAGACAAUUUUGACAUUAGUGGCUUUGUAACGUGUCGACUUGAUGAGGCUGAGUUGCAAGCUAAGUUGUCCAAUAAAAAAUGGAAACAUUUCCUUUCUGCGUUUAUUUCAUGACUUAUAUAAUUUUGCCUAUGUGUAAAAAAGAAAGCUUGAAAUUUCACUUAAACUUCAAAUAUUGGAUAUUUGAGAAAGAAAUUCCUACCGAAACCAGGUCCUGGGAUGUCUAAUAGUCUAGAUUCUUAAAAUUAGCAUCAAAUUCCAGGUAUGUGAUUUAGGAACAUAUUACUUUAUGGCAUUAAAAAGAAAUGGCUUGGUUUUGAACAUGUAAAAUCCCAUCUUUCAGUUUCUAUGAUUUACUGAAAUAUCUGUGGAUCAAAACCGAAUAUAUAACACAUGUUAUGAGAACAACGUUGGCUUACUGGUUAACUUUAAAAUAAGAUUUCUGAAGAUGUUUAUUCAACAAUACUUGCCCAUUUCAAAUGUAGACAUUUGGAGCCUAACUCGCUGAAUUUCCUCUGUGGAUACCUGUCACUAUCAUGUAGCAAGUGUGAGGGUUUGAAUAGGUAAGGCCCCCAUAGACUUAGGUGUUUGAAUAUCCAUAGGGAGUGGCACUAUUAGGAGGUGUGGCCUUGUUGGAGGAAGUGUAUCACUGUGGGGGCCUGGCUGUGAGGUCUUCUGUAUCCAAGCUCUGCCCAGUGUGGAACACAGUCUCCUGACUGUCUUCCAAUCAAGAUGUAGAACUCUGAGCUUCUCUAGCAUGGCAGCCUGCAUGCUGCCAUGUUUCCCUCCAUAAUAAUAAUGGACUAAACCUCUAAAACUGCAAGCUACCAUCAAUUAAAUGAUUUCCUUUAUAAGAGUUGCCUUGGUCAUCAUGUCUCUUCACAGCAAUGAGACCCUAACUAAGCAAGUGUGUGUGCCUUAAUUCCUAAUUCUAGGACUUUACAAGAAAGGGGUAAAGACAAAUGUACAAAAAGCUCUUGAGCACAGAAUUUACAAAUAAAAUACAAAACUGGUUGGAUUUGGAGGGUUGGGGUGACUGGUAUGUAGCCAAGCUUAGUCAUCAUUCUGAUUUUGUAUCUGAGAGUAGAGAGGUGUCCAGGAGCCAGUCCAAUGUGGAGCCCAGGAGGCAACUAUAACAUGGAACUUGCAGGACUCUCGAUAUAUUGAGUAGCUUUUAGUCUAUUGAAAUUUAGUUUAUAGUCACUUCACAAUAAACAAAAUACCAGGUUGCUAACAUGAGAGACAACCUUUGAGCUUUUCAGAUUUUUAAUUAAAUGGCUUUUCUUUUCCUGAAGUAUGUGUGAACCAGAUGCUGUUGAUUUUCCAACUAAACAUGAGUGAAAGGCGUCCAAGGAAAUGGUCAACUCUAGGUUGGAGACCUGAGUGGGCAGGGGUACCCACCACCCCAGAUGGUUCCAGUAUAAGCCCCAGAUGCCAGAUACAGAGCUGCAGAAUUUGGUGUUCACCUCCUUGGUUUAGGUCUUGCUAUGCUCUCAUCAUUCUUAACUAUGCCCUUAUUGCUCUCUGUUGGACUUCGUGCCAUUGGAUAUUAGAACUAUGUAACCUUUUCUGCUGGGUCUCAUCAUAAGAGAUUGAGCCCCAGUAGAGACUUUAUGCUUAUACUUUUGAAUACUCCUGGAAUGUUUAUACUUUGGGUACUUCAUGAAAUGUAAUAAAUACAUUUUGUGAUAUAAAAUUAA